AACGGCGGCCGUAACUAUAACGGUCCUAAGGUAGCGAAAUUCCUUGUCAGGUAAGUUCUGACCCGCACGAAAGGUGUAAUGAUUUGGGAGCUGUCUCGACAAUGUACUCGGCGAAAUUGUAGUACUAGUGAAGAUGCUAGUUACCUGCGACAAGACAGAAAGACCCCAUGGAGCUUUACUGCAGCUUGAUACUGGGUUUUGGUAAUUUAUGUACAGGAUAGGUGGGAUGCUAUGAAGCAAUUGCGCCAGCAAUUGUGGAGCAGACGUUGGGAUACCACCCUUAAAUUACUGAAAUUCUAACUAGCCGUCAUAAACUGGCGGGAGGACAAUGUCAGGCGGGCAGUUUGACUGGGGCGGUCGCCUCCUAAAGAGUAACGGAGGCGCGCAAAGGUUUCCUCAGCGCGGACAGAAAUCGCGCGAAAGAGUGCAAAGGCAGAAGGAAGCUUAACUGAGAGACAGACAUGUCGACCAGAUACGAAAGUAGGUCUUAGUGAUCCGGUGGUAGUAAGUGGGAAUGCCAUCGCUCAACGGACAAAAGUUACCCUGGGGAUAACAGGCUUAUCUCCCCCAAGAGUUCACAUCGACGGGGAGGUUUGGCACCUCGAUGUCGGCUCAUCACAUCCUGGAGCGGAAGUACGUUCCAAGGGUUGGGCUGUUCGCCCAUUAAAGUGGUACGCGAGCUGGGUUCAGAACGUCGUGAGACAGUUCGGUCCUUAUCUGUCGCAGGCGGAGGAUAUUUGAAGGGAGUUGACCUUAGUACGAGAGGACCAGGUUGAAGGAACCGAUGGUGCACCAGUUGUACUACCAAGUGCAUAGCUGGAUAGCUAAGUUCCGAAGGGAUAAACGCUGAAAGCAUCUAAGUGUGAAGCCCACCCUAAGAUAAGAUAUCCCAUACCGCAAGGUAGUAAGAUUCCAUUAAGACUAAAUGGUUGAUAGGUUGGAGGUGUAAGUGUAGUGAUACAUUGAGCUGACCAAUACUAAUAAAUCGAGGGCUUAACUAU
This 1001-nucleotide ribosomal RNA is filed under the name human metagenome. Its description in RNAcentral is "bacterial LSU rRNA". It matches the Rfam family "Bacterial large subunit ribosomal RNA", at positions 1926 to 2925 of the family's 2925-position model. The record is from RNAcentral.